UUGAUUAUUCUGCUGUUUGUUUGAGCAAGAUCACGUGCACUGAUGAUAUCUGGCUCAUGGUCAAGGUGUACAGCAGACAAGCCAGUUUCUGACAAGCCAAUAGAUCUCCCUCCAUCCUACACAUAUUGAACUAAGAGAAAAAAUCCAGAGUGAACACAUAGAUCAGAUAAGUACCCUUUGUCAGUACAGACAAUGGUAUUUUAAUUAAAUAUAGGAACAUAUGGUCCUGCCCCAGAUGAUCAAGUCUAAAGGAAGGAAGCAUAAUCUAAUCAAAGUCAGGCCCAAAGAGUUUCAAGGGAAGAAUUAUUUUUUAUCAGUGCCCCCUCUCUUCUGGGACUGAGCCAGUUGUCUUUAUUAUUGUAGAAUCAACAUAUUGUACAUUAUUAAGCAGUCUUCACUCAGUACUGCAUAUAUAGUAAGUAUUUCUGCGACAAACUGAGUUAAAGGGUACAACUUAUACACUGUAAGCCCGAACAGUACUACUAGCUUAUAAAGACUGAGGUCGCUACAGUUAAAAUCUCUUGCUGAGUUAAUCCACCUUUAAACUAUUAAUGUCUAUAAACAAAUAUGUAUUUUUGUAUUUACAUGGCUCAGCAUUUCUGAGUGAACACCGCUGGUUCACUCAAUAUUUUUAAGUGUACUGUCGAUCACGUGAUAUGACGUCAUGACGUGCCAUCCUAACUGACGUUACCUGAAAAAUCUAUCCAAGAUGGCUACCCUCUCGAGCAAUGUGGUGUCUAUGCGUGGUAUCAAGCAUUAAACUUUAAGGUUGAAGUGGAAGAACUACAGAAAAGUGCAUCCUCCAAAAUCAAGUGCUUCACUGGUUGGGGGGUCAUCCCUUGUCUGGAUCAGUUAUUUUAUGCAGUCAGCAGUGAAUUCAUGGACACUGAAGACUUUGAUCGAUUUUUUGCAAAACCUACAUUGUCACCAGAGUUCAACUUUAUCG
Molecule: long non-coding RNA, 946 nt
Organism: Micropterus salmoides (largemouth bass)
Lineage: Eukaryota; Metazoa; Chordata; Actinopteri; Centrarchiformes; Centrarchidae
Exons: 4
Source: RefSeq, a predicted model, not a curated record